GUGGGUAGUUUGACUGGGGCGGUCUCCUCCUAAAGAGUAACGGAGGAGCACGAAGGUUGGCUAAUCCUGGUCGGACAUCAGGAGGUUAGUGCAAUGGCAUAAGCCAGCUUGACUGCGAGCGUGACGGCGCGAGCAGGUGCGAAAGCAGGUCAUAGUGAUCCGGUGGUUCUGAAUGGAAGGGCCAUCGCUCAACGGAUAAAAGGUACUCCGGGGAUAACAGGCUGAUACCGCCCAAGAGUUCAUAUCGACGGCGGUGUUUGGCACCUCGAUGUCGGCUCAUCACAUCCUGGGGCUGAAGUAGGUCCCAAGGGUAUGGCUGUUCGCCAUUUAAAGUGGUACGCGAGCUGGGUUUAGAACGUCGUGAGACAGUUCGGUCCCUAUCUGCCGUGGGCGCUGGAGAACUGAGGGGGGCUGCUCCUAGUACGAGAGGACCGGAGUGGACGCAUCACUGGUGUUCGGGUUGUCAUGCCAAUGGCACUGCCCGGUAGCUAAAUGCGGAAGAGAUAAGUGCUGAAAGCAUCUAAGCACGAAACUUGCCCCGAGAUGAGUUCUCCCUGACCCUUUAAGGGUCCUGAAGGAACGUUGAAGACGACGACGUUGAUAGGCCGGGUGUGUAAGCGCAGCGAUGCGUUGAGCUAACCGGUACUAAUGAACCGUGAGGCUUAACCUUACAACGCCGAAGGUGUUU
RNAcentral lists this ribosomal RNA (688 nucleotides) under Escherichia coli. RNAcentral's name for it is "partial 23S ribosomal RNA". It matches the Rfam family "Bacterial large subunit ribosomal RNA", at positions 2261 to 2925 of the family's 2925-position model. The record is from RNAcentral. Lineage: Bacteria; Pseudomonadati; Pseudomonadota; Gammaproteobacteria; Enterobacterales; Enterobacteriaceae.